This 497-nucleotide ribosomal RNA is filed under the name uncultured bacterium. RNAcentral describes it as "partial 16S ribosomal RNA". It matches the Rfam family "Bacterial small subunit ribosomal RNA", at positions 28 to 507 of the family's 1533-position model. The record is from RNAcentral.
GAUGAACGCUGGCGGCGUGCCUAAUACAUGCAAGUCGAGCGAACAGACGAGGAGCUUGCUCCUCUGACGUUAGCGGCGGACGGGUGAGUAACACGUGGAUAACCUACCUAUAAGACUGGGAUAACUUCGGGAAACCGGAGCUAAUACCGGAUAAUAUAUUGAACCGCAUGGUUCAAUAGUGAAAGACGGUUUUGCUGUCACUUAUAGAUGGAUCCGCGCCGCAUUAGCUAGUUGGUAAGGUAACGGCUUACCAAGGCAACGAUGCGUAGCCGACCUGAGAGGGUGAUAGGCCACACUGGAACUGAGACACGGUCCAGACUCCUACGGGAGGCAGCAGUAGGGAAUCUUCCGCAAUGGGCGAAAGCCUGACGGAGCAACGGCGCGUGAGUGAUGAAGGUCUUCGGAUCGUAAAACUCUGUUAUGAGGGAAGAACAAAUGUGUAAGUAACUAUGCACGUCUUGACGGUACCUAAUCAGAAAGCCACGGCUAACUACGUG